ACUCACAAAUACAAUAAAAAUAUCAGCCAGCAUAAUGUCUGCUGAUAUAAAAGCCUAUAUACCUCAAUAUAUUGGCCAAUAUGAUAUCAGUCUCCCUGCCAAGAUUGAGUUUUCGACAUAAACAUGAUGUGGUUUCCUUGUCAAAUGACAAACAUCUUAAUUAUAUUUUAAGAGGUCAGAUCAUCCACAACCUUCAACCACCUCUCCAAAAGGCAAAGUCGUCAUCCUCACUAAGUCAUCCAAACUCAAAUCAAACCUAACCUUAAAUGGAGAAAGUUCUGCCCGAGAACUUUGGCAUCAGAUGAGGGAUAAGGAUCUUUGACCCCAUCCACCAAAGAUAUCAAAGGCACUGCUUCAGCGCUUUAGAACAUAGAUAACAUCCAUGGCAAUGUUAUGGAGGAAUUCCUUGAAAAAGUCAUAGAUCAUGUCCAUGAUUCACUCCAUCAUGAUCUUGUGGCCUUUAACUCACAGAUUAGAUCCCAGUUGCCAGAAUAGGGAGCAAGCGAGGUUAUGGGAAGAGAACAUUUCUUCUUGAAGCACUAACCAGGAGCUGUACAAGAUUCCUGGAAGUUUUUGAAGCAUACGCUAGGUAUAAGAUUCCUAACUUUGAGGAUCAUAUUGCUAGGACACUUUGUUUGCUCUCUCAGACAGCAGCCAUCGGAUGAAUGAUUUAAUACAUCGCUGUCAAAUAGCUUAGGCAACCCUAUAUGAUGG
Molecule: long non-coding RNA, 714 nt
Filed under: Elaeis guineensis (African oil palm)
Lineage: Eukaryota; Viridiplantae; Streptophyta; Magnoliopsida; Arecales; Arecaceae
Description: long non-coding RNA (EGUI_LNC074253)
Source: RNAcentral